This 68-nucleotide transfer RNA is filed under the name Marmota monax (woodchuck). Its description in RNAcentral is "tRNA.Ala". Lineage: Eukaryota; Metazoa; Chordata; Mammalia; Rodentia; Sciuridae. The record is from RNAcentral.
GGAUUGUGGCUCAGUGAUAGAGUGCUUGUCUAGCACAGGCGAGGCCCUGGGUUCGAUCCCCAACACCA